This 74-nucleotide transfer RNA is filed under the name bacterium. RNAcentral describes it as "tRNA-Thr". It matches the Rfam family "tRNA". Rfam says of the family: Transfer RNA (tRNA) molecules are approximately 80 nucleotides in length. Their secondary structure includes four short double-helical elements and three loops (D, anti-codon, and T loops). The record is from RNAcentral.
GCCUGCGUAGCUCAGAUGGUUAGAGCGCUUCCUUGGUAAGGAAGAGGUCGGCGGUUCAAAUCCGCCCGCAGGCU